UGAAAAGGAUGGUCUUUCCAUACAGAGCACCAUUCAUCAAAAGAUACAAAAUAACAGCUGAAGAAAGAGGGAAAUGAAAACUAAUAGCACAUUGCCUUGAAGGAAGUCGCACUCUCUCAAGUCACCUAUCACUUCCAUACUCAGAUGAGGACCCUGAGAGUCUACAACUGCGUUGUCCAGCAGGAAUCUUUAGAAGCAAUUGCCUUUUCCUGCGCAAGACAGCAGAUGGGGUCCUACUUCACCUGUGAUCAGCCGUCUUGGUGGCCUCUCACAAUCUAAGAGCUGGCCAUCCUGCUCCUUUGAGAAGAAAGAGACAGCAGCAUGAAGUGAUCAGGGAGGAUUUAAUGACUCCUCCAACCUGGAAAGAGGAACCCUCCAUGUAGAGUGAUAACAAAACAAAGAAAUGGAGAUUUCCAGGAUUUAAAUUCACUAACACAACUCUAGAGAUGGUGAGAGAUAAGGGACCAUUUUGACAAGUUUUACUUGGCAUGCCUCAAUCCAGUUCUGCUUUCAGUGGAUUGAGGGAAUUGACUUACAUAUCUG
Molecule: long non-coding RNA, 543 nt
Organism: Physeter macrocephalus (sperm whale)
Lineage: Eukaryota; Metazoa; Chordata; Mammalia; Artiodactyla; Physeteridae
Exons: 4
Source: RefSeq, a predicted model, not a curated record